Molecule: transfer RNA, 61 nt
Filed under: Bacillus cereus
Lineage: Bacteria; Bacillati; Bacillota; Bacilli; Caryophanales; Bacillaceae
Also listed under: 3 other names
Description: partial tRNA-Glu
Rfam family: tRNA
About the family: Transfer RNA (tRNA) molecules are approximately 80 nucleotides in length. Their secondary structure includes four short double-helical elements and three loops (D, anti-codon, and T loops).
Source: RNAcentral
GUUGGUCAAGUGGUUAAGACACCGCCCUUUCACGGCGGUAACACGGGUUCGAAUCCCGUAC